GAUGAACGCUGGCGGCGUGCCUAAUACAUGCCAGUCGAGCGAACAGACGAGGAGCUUGCUCCUCUGACGUUAGCGGCGGACGGGUGAGUCACACGUGGAUAACCUACCUAUCAGACUGGGAUAACUUCGGGAAACCGGAGCUAAUACCGGAUGAUAUAUUGCACCGCAUUGUUCAAUAGUGAAAGUCGGUUUUUGUGUCAGUUAUAGAUGGAUCCGCGCCUCAUUAGCUGGUUGGUAAGGUAACGGCUUACCAAGGGAACGAUGCGUAACCGACCUGAGAGGGUGAUCCGCCCCUCGGAAGCUGAGACGCGGUACAGACUCGGACGGGAGGCAGCAGUAGGGAAUCUACGGCAAUGGGCGAAAGCCUGACGGAGCAACGGCGCGUGAGUGAUGAAGGUCUUCGGAUCGUAAAACGCUGUUAUUAGGGAAGAACAAAUGUGUAGUAACUAUGCACGUCUUGACGGUACCGAAUCAGAAAGCCACGGCUAACUACGUG
Molecule: ribosomal RNA, 496 nt
Filed under: uncultured bacterium
Lineage: Bacteria
Description: partial 16S ribosomal RNA
Rfam family: Bacterial small subunit ribosomal RNA
Source: RNAcentral